This is a long non-coding RNA of Diorhabda sublineata, 2284 nucleotides long. RefSeq lists it as uncharacterized. The record is from RefSeq and is a predicted model, not a curated record. The transcript has 3 exons. NCBI's taxonomy places the organism in Eukaryota, Metazoa, Arthropoda, Insecta, Coleoptera, Chrysomelidae.
ACAGUUUUAAAUCCUCUGUACAUUAUUCUAAUUUCUUGUCUGGUGAAUUUGGUUAAUUUACAAAGAUCUUCAAGAGCAACUGGUACUGGCUUUGGUACUCUGGACGGUUCUAUUUCAAACAUAACCUCUUCGACGGGACUUUCUGAAGGAGUAGCCAUCUUAGAUAGGGUAUGGUUCAGUUGGUGGCUUUUGGAAAAACCUGAAAAUAAAUUUGAAAAUUUAACUAUAGCGCUCACAGAUAACUCCUAUAUGUCGAUGGGACAAAACUAAGAGAGGUUUAUAGGAGAUUGAAUACUUAACGUCAGGAGAUUUGUAAUAUGUCAGUAGUAUACGAUGUGUUUGAGAAAAUAAGACUGACAUACCUGCAAAUAAUCAGACAACGUUCCGGCCUGUAAAAGUACCCGACAUUUGUGAACUCUACGAUUGCAUGUGUGGAAUACAUAAUCAUCAGAUUAUAGACAUUAUUGAAAACAUGAUUCUUGACAAAUUGUAAACCUCCACAGGAAACGAUAACUUAGACAGUUGAAGCUAUAAGCAUAAAAAAUAUUCUGUAAUAUUUAAUAAAAAAAGUAAGAGAGCUCCAGCAAAAACUGUUUACUCUUCAAAAAUUUGAAAAACAACACAUUAAAACAAUUGUUGGGUAGUCCAAAGGGUAAAAUAUCAAAGUUGGAGAAGAUUUGUGGUGAUUAUGACGGUAGGUAUAUUGGACAAACUAAGAUAUCCGAUAUUGUUCGAUUUAAGGAGCACAUAGCUUAUUUAAAAUAUGGAUGGACCGAAAAAUCGAGUAUUACCGAUCACGCUACCAGUCAUCAUUAUGACAUAAGUAUUAAUAAUGUAAUAAAUGUUCAAAAAUGUAUCCAAUAAUAAAUUGUUUGAUGCAUUUGGAAGCAUUGAAGUUGUUAAAUGUAAUGAAAGCUUGAAUAAGCACAAAGAGCCAAUUCAUUACUGCCCACUCUAUAGUUUAGUAGUCAAAGAAUAAAUGUUAAGAGGUUUACCUACUGGAAUUAAUUUUCGUGGGACAAGGUUUAUUAGUGGGAAAAUUCAGUAUAAAACAGGUACGUCAAGAAAUUAGAUUUUAGUUUACCUCCAGUCUCUGAAGACGAUAACUUGGUUAUUGAAACGCGCGUCAGAUAAUGUAAUGGUUAGUAUUGGUGGUAGUGGUAGUGUGAAUAGUGUGUUCAGCCUAAAAUAUGACGAUUGGGGAAAACUUACGUCUAUACCAAGUUGAAUCCCCGAGGGCUUCACAGUUGGUUCCAAAAUUUCGAAAACAAUUAUUUUCUUUGCAACUCAAAAAUACCAAAUUUGGUACACUGUACUAGAGUGUUGAGGGCAUUAAGUUGGUAAGUAGAAGGCGAUAGAAUGAUUCUGGGGUGUUGAUUAAAGAUGAUCUAUUGUUAAAAUUUCACAGAAGUUUCUAAUCUGCCGGUUGAUUUAUAUAUGAAAGUUUCUGUACUCUGUACUCAAAGAAAUUUUCAUUUUUAACGAAAAAUCGAGUAACCAUAGACAUGUUUUCAACAAUUUUAUUUGAAAAAAAGUCUAGAGUUGACUAUGAAUUCGUACAUCACAUUUAAUGAUUUGUAAUUCGGUUCUUGUAGUUAUUGAAUUGUUAUAAUUUCUUCAAUGUUUCUUGAGGAAAUGUAAAGGAAUGUGAGGAACCACGCGACUAGGAAGCCUUUACGCUUCUUCUACAGUUUCCUUCACAAAAACCUAACAACAAUAACAUAUAUCUACUUGUUUCCUUAAUGUGUAUUCCCACUUAAUAAAAAAAGCUUUAACAAUUCAUUACAGGAAGAACUGAAUUGUACAUUAUCAAAAGAGGUGUUUAAAUUCAUAGGUAACGCUUGAAUUUUUAGUAACUGUUUCAACAAUAUUGAAAAUAUGUCCUUAGUUUCUGAAUUUUCCAUGACAAAGUUUCAUGAGAAAAUAUGAAAGUGAAAAAAGGUUUAGAAUUGAAUUCUAAUCUGAAAAAUGAAUUAACCCCCAAAAAUUGGUCGAUCGACUUCAACUUGCCAUUACUUAAUGCCCUUAACUUUUUAAUACGAAGUCAGGCUAAUAAAUAACGAGACUGGUUAUGAAAAAGGGUUUUAUUAUAAAAAUUAUUCUAUAAUCGAAUGCUUUUGUCAUGUGUAAUUCCUCAUGUGAAAUUUUUCUAACAGUUUUAAAAAAUGCCAGUGCAUCCUAGAUUAAUUAUGCAUUAACGUGCAAACUUAAAUUUCCAACGUAAUCGCAGAGAAAAUGUAGAAAAAAAUAUUUUUUUAAUGUAAAUAAACAAUGUUGAAUAUUU